RNAcentral lists this ribosomal RNA (106 nucleotides) under Mycoplasmataceae bacterium. Lineage: Bacteria; Bacillati; Mycoplasmatota; Mollicutes; Mycoplasmatales; Mycoplasmataceae. The record is from RNAcentral.
UAUGGUGCUCAUAUUAGUAAUGGAUAUACCUGUUCCCAUCUCGAACACAGAAGUCAAGCAUUAUUAAGCCGACGGUAGCCAAAAGUAAGAAUAGGUUGUGCCAAUA